UCCUUCGGGGCUGGGGACAGCGGCGAACGGGUGAGUAACACGUGGGUAAUCUGCCCUCGGCACCGGAAUAGCCCGGGGAAACCCGGAUUAAUGCCGGAUGGCCUCUCUGCCCUUCGGGGCGGCGAGAAAAGGUAGCUUCGGCCUCCGGCCGAGGAUGAGCCCGCGGCCGAUUAGCUUGUUGGUGAGGUAACGGCUCACCAAGGCGACGAUCGGUAGCUGGUCUGAGAGGACGAUCAGCCACACUGGGACUGAGACACGGCCCAGACUCCUACGGGAGGCAGCAGUGGGGAAUCUUGCGCAAUGGGCGAAAGCCUGACGCAGCGACGCCGCGUGCGGGAAGAAGGCCUUCGGGUUGUAAACCGCUUUCAGGAGGGACGAAGCCACUCGGGUUAAUAGCCUAGAGGGUGACGGUACCUCCAGAAGAAGCCCCGGCUAACUACGUGCCAGCAGCCGCGGUAAUACGUAGGGGGCUAGCGUUGUCCGGAUUUAUUGGGCGUAAAGAGCGUGUAGGCGGCCAGGUAGGUCCGGUGUGAAAACUCGAGGCUUAACCUCGAGAUGUCAUCGGAAACCAUCUGGCUAGAGUCCGGAAGAGGAGAGUGGAAUUCCUGGUGUAGCGGUGAAAUGCGCAGAUAUCAGGAAGAACACCAAUGGCGAAAGCAGCUCUCUGGGACGGUACUGACGCUGAGACGCGAAAGCGUGGGGAGCGAACAGGAUUAGAUACCCUGGUAGUCCACGCCGUAAACGAUGGGCGCUAGGUGUGGGCGGUGUCGACUCCGUCCGUGCCGAAGCUAACGCAUUAAGCG
This 803-nucleotide ribosomal RNA is filed under the name uncultured Actinomycetes bacterium. Its description in RNAcentral is "bacterial SSU rRNA". It matches the Rfam family "Bacterial small subunit ribosomal RNA", at positions 76 to 866 of the family's 1533-position model. Lineage: Bacteria; Bacillati; Actinomycetota; Actinomycetes. The record is from RNAcentral.